GGCAGCUCGGCUCACACUCAAGUUGAAUUGAAUGCCAAAGCCAGUUCAUCCUUGGCUUGGGGGUUGGUACCCUCCACUCCCCCUGCUUGGGGAUCCCUCACUUCCGCCUGCCUUGGCUUCUGGGGUUCACUUCAUCCUGGGCUGGGGCUGAACCUCAUUCCUGCCAGUGGGGCUCUCUCCUUCUCCCCCAUCCCUCCUUCUUCCAGGGAGAAGUCUGGGAGUCUCUCUUUUCUCUUCCCUCCCGUUAAGCGUCUAUUUAUUCAUGAGACUUCAUAGAUUUUUGCCUUUUCUCUACUUUUUUCUCAGCUUGAAGACACAAGCGGUUGAGCUUGGAGGCCCCAGGGGCCCCUUCCCACCCUCCCCCUGCGGCAGAGCUCAGGCUUCUCUUCUCUUCCCUUCCUUUGUAUCUUCCGCUCUUUCACGCCCUUUCUCAGCAGCACGUGAUGGGAAGAGGGACUUGUUCACCAAUCCUCCCCCCUUGUUUGGGGGUGUUCUGAGGUUAGAACCUUAUUUCUUUCUCUGACCAUCACUUCAGAAAUGAUGGCUUCCGGUGUCCUUUGUCCUCAUCGUCUGCCUGAUGAUCAUUUUUGCCCUUGUGUUUCUCGCUUACUUGCCAUCAGAGGUGACACCGAAUCUCUUUUCCAGAAGUGCCAUGGUGACGUUCCAGCUCACGGAGGAGGCUCAGUGUAGCACCCACACCCAAGACGUAAAAUAAGUCAUGUCCUGGGCAGGACCAUCCUCAUGCCCAACAUGAGAGAGAAGCAACAUGGUGUGACUUCCUCUCCUUCCCCUCUUCUCCCACUCUCCCGCCUUCCUCACCCCUCCUCAAAGGAAAAUUAUGCAGAAGGAGACUGUAGGCAAAGUGAGUCAGCACUGCCGCAGAGGGAGGGAGCCCUGCUCGUGCAGUGACUCGUGGGAGAGGCACAGCCUUGCUGUGGGUCUUAUCAAGGAGGACCCUGAUUCUCACCAACUACCAGUCCAAAGAAGCAACAGGAAACAAGAACAGAGCUGUGGGCGCCAUGCUGUGGUAACAGAAGAAGGCAGUUUCUCUGGAGCCACGCUGCCCUCUGUGGGGCCGAGGCAACCAGCAGAACCACAAGCAAAGAUUCGCCAAUAGGAACUUGCGUGCGGGGCUGCUGUUGGUGAGAUGACGGAAGUUAUAAUGAUGUUGCUAAGCUUUUUUACAAUGUGUGCAAAAUUGGGAAAAAUGAUGGGCACACGUUGGAAAUGUUGUGGAUCUGGUUCCAGUCCAUUGGGAUAAAGUGAAUAUUGAAAUAAAGAGAGUCAAGUGAACUUUUUGCUUUCCUGG
RNAcentral lists this long non-coding RNA (1309 nucleotides) under Felis catus (domestic cat). RNAcentral describes it as "lncRNA (ENSFCAG00000049454.1)". Lineage: Eukaryota; Metazoa; Chordata; Mammalia; Carnivora; Felidae. The record is from RNAcentral.